UACUAGCUUAUUCAAACUGUUAUCAGUGUCAACUUGUCUGAACUCACCAUAUUAUAAUUUUUCAUGUAACUGGUUAUUAAACCUCCUCAGCACAAGUAACUAUAGACAGUUGCAACAAGACAAUUUUACACCUUUUUCAGGAAUUGAAAAUGAACUACCGUGCAUGGAGGCAUCGGUGCUGGCUUAUACCUUACAUGACGAGAAAACAGGUGCUGAAUGAAUUGAAGAAGUCAACAAGAUGGAGCUAGCUACAUGUUGCUGACAACUGCUGCUUUCACUACCUCAGGGUUAGGGCCUUCUCACUCGAUGAUUUUCAUAUAAACCUGUGGCCGAAAGCCUGUACAACACGUUUACACAACACAAGUGGUACAGCUGAUUAUGAAGUGUGUAUGUACAGUCUCGUACCAGGUUAAAGUAAAUCGGCAGUACUAUGAGUCUUUUGUACCGCAGCGAGGGCUACGGCGAGGAGAUCCAUUAUCACCAUACCGCUUCAUUCUAUGUGCUGAGAUGAUUCCUUGAUAUUCAGGAAAGCUACAGCAGAUUGUGCGCAACGGCUCCAAUCCAUCCUUCAACUAUAUGAGGCAUGCUCCGGUAAAAUGGUAAACAAGGGCAAGUCUUCCAUCAGGUUUCACAAAGGCAUCCCAGCAGCGACUAAAGGGGAUAUAAUAUCUAUUCUGAGUGUCCAAAUUGAAGCUAUGCAUG
Long non-coding RNA from Phragmites australis (common reed), 702 nucleotides. RefSeq lists it as uncharacterized. The transcript is spliced from 3 exons. Lineage: Eukaryota; Viridiplantae; Streptophyta; Magnoliopsida; Poales; Poaceae. The record is from RefSeq and is a predicted model, not a curated record.